AAAUAAAAAUUCUAUCUAUUUUACUGUUAAAAACUGACGUGACCGAAAUAACUAGACAGUGACACAUGGUGUGAUACAUGUACCUCAUGUUGAUUUAUAGAGACUAGUUUUUAAUAGUAAAAAUAAAUGAAAAUUUUAACA
Non-coding RNA from Gossypium hirsutum (cotton), 141 nucleotides. NCBI's taxonomy places the organism in Eukaryota, Viridiplantae, Streptophyta, Magnoliopsida, Malvales, Malvaceae. The record is from Rfam.